This 22-nucleotide non-coding RNA is filed under the name Rattus norvegicus (Norway rat). Lineage: Eukaryota; Metazoa; Chordata; Mammalia; Rodentia; Muridae. The record is from RNAcentral.
GAUUGAACAAUGAGACCCCAGU